CAUCCGCGGCCUCGCCCCUACGCCAUUCCUAUCGCCUCGCUGUGGCGGCCUCCGCCAAACACCACCACUACCAGCUGCGGGCAAGGGGCGCAGCCGUCCAGCCCCAACCUGCGAUCCUUCCUAGAUCAACGACGGAGACCCCGACCUGAAGAGCUCCACAACCAGCAGCAACUUUGUGACUUCCUCUUGACAGAGGCCAGGCCAUGGCUGCCGGGGUCCAACCCAGUGUGCGCUGCGACCUGCGAGCCCUUAAGCAGCGUGCGUGUGAGCACUGCAUCAGGCCACGCCGCCUCCCUCAAACCUAACCCCAUCACUCCAACAACGACCUCCGCCAGCAGCCCCAUCACAUCUCCAUUUUUCUCCACGGGCUAGCAAUAAUCUUAAUCUUCUGCCGGAGCUCUCCUAGCGCCGUGCACUUUCUUCCGUGGUCAACAGACAUGCUUUUCCUUUUUUUCUGUGCCUUUUUAUUUUAAUUGUUGUUAUCCCGUUGAAUUCUGCAGAGGAAGCACAAAGAGGCUUUUAGAACAGUCCAGGAGUUCAUGGGAAUCGGCUGCUGUUGCAUGCAAGAAAUAUUACCCUGUUUGCAGAACCAAUGGAUGUCAAAUAGUGCUACUGAAUUAGUGCGGAUAUUCAGAAUUUUACAAUGGAAAUUUGUAUGUACUACCACCUUCAAUAAUACAUAAUGAUACUGAAUUGCUGAUUGAACCAACCACAACUAUAUU
Molecule: long non-coding RNA, 722 nt
Filed under: Triticum aestivum (bread wheat)
Lineage: Eukaryota; Viridiplantae; Streptophyta; Magnoliopsida; Poales; Poaceae
Description: long non-coding RNA (TAES_LNC016781)
Source: RNAcentral